Molecule: ribosomal RNA, 964 nt
Filed under: Polystomoides multifalx
Lineage: Eukaryota; Metazoa; Platyhelminthes; Monogenea; Polystomatidea; Polystomatidae
Description: partial large subunit ribosomal RNA
Rfam family: Eukaryotic large subunit ribosomal RNA
Source: RNAcentral
UAUCACUAAGCGGCGGAAAAGAAACUAACCAGGAUUCCCCUAGUAACGGCGAGUGAACGGGGAUAAGCCCAGCACCGAAGCCUGUGUCCUAUUGGAUACUAGGCACUGUGGUGUUUAGGUGGUGACAUGUCAGCUUAUCUGCUGCCCCAAGUCCAGUAAUGAAUAUGGCUCUUAUAUUGGCCCAGAGAGGGUGAAAGGCCCGUGGGGGUAGUGGUGGUAGGUUGACUUGUUCCACCUUGGAGUCGGGUUGUUUGUGAAUGCAGCCCAAAGUGGGUGGUAGACUCCAUCUAAGGCUAAAUACUGGCACGAGUCCGAUAGCGAACAAGUACCGUGAGGGAAAGUUGAAAAGUACUCUGAAGAGAGAGUAAACAGUGCGUGAAACCGCUGAGAGGUAAACGGGUGUAGUCAAGCUGCAAGCCCUAGGGAUUCAGCCGAUCAGUGUAUUGUGUGUGCAUGAGCACAUUUUUGGUCUGUCGCGGUCUGCCUAAACUGGUGGGCUUGGCUCCUCGUAGCCGAGUGCUUGGGCGUCAAAUGGAUGCUAAGCGCCGUGCAGGAUCCAAAAGCUGGUCGGUGCACUUCCUUAGGGUGUAAGCCACGACCGCCGUUGCUGCCGGUCUGCCGGGAUCAACCUUCUUGGUUGGGCCAUUUGGCUCGGCCAGGUCGGGAUGGCAGGUGGCCAGGUGUGUGCGCUUGCGUACAUAUCGGGUGUUAUAGCCGAUCCUUGGGCGGUGCAUAAACUGUGCAGUUCGGUGGAGAUGUCGACGUGUUGGUUACGGCUUAUGUGCUAAAGUCUGCCGGCGUGGUCAACGUCUGGCUGCCUGUAGUCGAUGCAAAAUUCGGCCUGGCGGCGGCUUGUUCACGGUGUAGCGGGCGGCGGCGUAAGCUAGCCAUCGGCCUUGUGCCGGUUCGUCGUCUAUAGUCUGUGGCGUAGUGGUAGACGAUCCACCCGACCCGUCUUGAAACA